UGGAUACUCCCUCCGUUCGAAAAUACUUGUCGAAGAAAUGAAUGUAUCUAAAUAUAUUUUAGUUCUAGAUAUAUCCAUUUUUAUCCAUUUAUGCGAUAAGUAAUUUCCAAACGGAUGGAGUACAUC
RNAcentral lists this microRNA precursor (126 nucleotides) under Hordeum vulgare. RNAcentral describes it as "microRNA MIR1122". It matches the Rfam family "MIR1120/MIR1122 microRNA precursor family". Lineage: Eukaryota; Viridiplantae; Streptophyta; Magnoliopsida; Poales; Poaceae. The record is from RNAcentral.